AUUUAUACUUUUAUUAUAUUUUCAAAAUCAUAUAGCGAUCGAGUAUUUGCGAAGAAGCGAGAUUCGCGUCGUUUUUGCACAAUUAAAAUCUAACUUCGCCAUGUUCGCUGGUCGGUUCUACCGAAAAUUUCGACUCGCCUUCGACCAUAGCGAUUUUUCUGAACGUAACACACGAUAGUAUCGAGAUUUGUGGGAACCGAGCAUCGAGCAAGACACGCGAAAAUCGGUGUGCUCGAUUUAAACGACGUUUAUCGAGGCGCCCGGUGUUCCGUAUUGUCGCCGCUGUCGAUACAUUUAAGUUAGGUCACGCGCCGUAAAGCGGAAUACGCCUCCAUCGGCUGUACGCGACCGAAAUUCGUAUCGAC
RNAcentral lists this unclassified non-coding RNA (365 nucleotides) under Bombus terrestris (buff-tailed bumblebee). RNAcentral's name for it is "misc RNA ENSBTSG00005027500.1". The record is from RNAcentral. Lineage: Eukaryota; Metazoa; Arthropoda; Insecta; Hymenoptera; Apidae.